AGAGUUUGAUCCUGGCUCAGGAUGAACGCUGGCGGCGUGCUUAACACAUGCAAGUCGAACGAACCUUCGGGUUAGUGGCGGACGGGUGAGUAACGCGUGAGAAUCUGCCCUCAGGAGGGGGAUAACGGUUGGAAACGACCGCUAAUACCCCAUAUGCCGCGAGGUGAAAUGAAUUUCGCCUGAGGAUGAGCUCGCGUCUGAUUAGUUAGUUGGUGGGGUAAAGGCCUACCAAGACAUCGAUCAGUAGCUGGUCUGAGAGGAUGAUCAGCCACACUGGGACUGAGACACGGCCCAGACUCCUACGGGAGGCAGCAGUGGGGAAUUUUCCGCAAUGGGCGAAAGCCUGACGGAGCAACGCCGCGUGAGGGAUGAAGGCCUCUGGGCUGUAAACCUCUUUUAUCAAGGAAGAAGAUCUGACGGUACUUGAUGAAUAAGCCACGGCUAAUUCCGUGCCAGCAGCCGCGGUAAUACGGGAGUGGCAAGCGUUAUCCGGAAUUAUUGGGCGUAAAGCGUCCGCAGGCGGUCUGUCAAGUCUGCUGUUAAAGCGUGGAGCUUAACUCCAUUUCGGCAGUGGAAACUGACAGACUAGAGUGUGGUAGGGGCAGAGGGAAUUCCCGGUGUAGCGGUGAAAUGCGUAGAUAUCGGGAAGAACACCAGUGGCGAAGGCGCUCUGCUGGGCCAUAACUGACGCUCAUGGACGAAAGCCAGGGGAGCGAAAGGGAUUAGAUACCCCUGUAGUCCUGGCCGUAAACGAUGAACACUAGGUGUCGGGGGAAUCGACCCCCUCGGUGUCGUAGCCAACGCGUUAAGUGUUCCGCCUGGGGAGUACGCACGCAAGUGUGAAACUCAAAGGAAUUGACGGGGGCCCGCACAAGCGGUGGAGUAUGUGGUUUAAUUCGAUGCAACGCGAAGAACCUUACCAGGGUUUGACAUCCUGCGAAUCUCUUGGAAACGAGAGAGUGCCUUCGGGAACGCAGUGACAGGUGGUGCAUGGCUGUCGUCAGCUCGUGUCGUGAGAUGUUGGGUUAAGUCCCGCAACGAGCGCAACCCACGUCGUUAGUUGCCAGCAUUUAGUUGGGCACUCUAGCGAGACCGCCGGUGAUAAACCGGAGGAAGGUGUGGAUGACGUCAAGUCAUCAUGCCCCUUACAUCCUGGGCUACACACGUACUACAAUGCUACGGACAAAGGGCAGCAAACUCGCGAGAGCUAGCAAAUCCCAUAAACCGUGGCUCAGUUCAGAUCGUAGGCUGCAACUCGCCUACGUGAAGCAGGAAUCGCUAGUAAUCGCAGGUCAGCAUACUGCGGUGAAUACGUUCCCGGGCCUUGUACACACCGCCCGUCACACCAUGGAAGUUGGCCACGCCCGAAGCCGUUACUCCAACCCUUGUGGAGGAGGACGUCGAAGGUGGGGCUGAUGACUGGGGUGAAGUCGUAACAAGGUA
RNAcentral lists this ribosomal RNA (1443 nucleotides) under metagenome. Its description in RNAcentral is "bacterial SSU rRNA". It matches the Rfam family "Bacterial small subunit ribosomal RNA". The record is from RNAcentral.